Molecule: ribosomal RNA, 199 nt
Filed under: uncultured bacterium
Lineage: Bacteria
Description: partial 16S ribosomal RNA
Rfam family: Bacterial small subunit ribosomal RNA
Source: RNAcentral
ACGCUCGACACCUACGGGAGGCAGCAGUCGGGAAUAUUGCGCAAUGGAGGGAACUCUGACGCAGUGACGCCGCGUAUAGGAAGAAGGUUUUCGGAUUGUAAACUAUUGUCGUUAGGGAAGAGAAAGGACAGUACCUAAGGAGGAAGCUCCGGCUAACUACGUGCCAACAGCCGCGGUAAUCUGAGCGGGCUGGCAAGGC